This 914-nucleotide ribosomal RNA is filed under the name uncultured bacterium. RNAcentral describes it as "bacterial SSU rRNA". It matches the Rfam family "Bacterial small subunit ribosomal RNA", at positions 537 to 1464 of the family's 1533-position model. The record is from RNAcentral.
UGGGCUGCUACGGCGUACUGGGCGUAAGAGUUGCGUAGGUGGCAUGGUAAGCGCAUAUUGAAAUGAUGCGGCUCAACCGCAUGUCCAUUAUCUGAACUGCCAAGCUUGAGCAUAGUAGAGGUAGCUGGAAUUCCCGGUGUAGGAGUGAAAUCCGUAGAUAUCGGGAGGAACACCGAUGGCGUAGGCAGGCUACUGGGCUAUUGCUGACACUAAGGCACGAAAGCGUGGGGAGCGAACGGGAUUAGAUACCCCGGUAGUCCACGCCGUAAACUAUGGAUGCUAGCUGUUAUCAGUAUCGACCCUGAUAGUAGCGAAGCUAACGCGUUAAGCAUCCCGCCUGGGGAGUACGGUCGCAAGACUAAAACUCAAAGGAAUUGACGGGGACCCGCACAAGCGGUGGAGCGUGUUGUUUAAUUCGAGGCUAAGCGAAGAACCUUACCAGGGUUUGACAUCCCGGGAAGAUCCCCGAAAGGGGAUUGUGCCUUCGGGAACCCGGUGACAGGUGUUGCAUGGCCGUCGUCAGCUCGUGUCGUGAGAUGUUUGGUUAAGUCCAUUAACGAGCGCAACCCUUAUAGUCUGUUGUAUUUUUCAGGCUAGACUGCCCCGGUAACGGGGAGGAAGGAGGGGAUGAUGUCAGGUCCGUAUUACCCUUACACCCUGGGCUACAAACACGCUACAAUGGCCGGUACAAAGGGCUGCCAAGCAGCAAUGCGGAGCAAAUCCCAUCAAAGCCGGUCUCAGUUCGGAUUGUCGGCUGAAACUCGCCGGCAUGAAGCUGGAAUCGCUAGUAACGGUAGGUCAGCUUACUACCGUGAAUACGUUCUCGGGUCUUGUACACACCGCCCGUCAAACCAUGAAAGUCGCCAAUACCCGAAGUCUGAUUUAUCAGCCUAAGUAGGGAGAUGAUUGGGGUU